RNAcentral lists this ribosomal RNA (686 nucleotides) under uncultured Bacilli bacterium. Its description in RNAcentral is "bacterial SSU rRNA". It matches the Rfam family "Bacterial small subunit ribosomal RNA", at positions 59 to 718 of the family's 1533-position model. The record is from RNAcentral. Lineage: Bacteria; Bacillati; Bacillota; Bacilli.
UUGCCUAGAUGAAUUUGGUGCUUGCACCAAAUGAAACUAGAUACAAGCGAGCGGCGGACGGGUGAGUAACACGUGGGUAACCUGCCCAAGAGACUGGGAUAACACCUGGAAACAGAUGCUAAUACCGGAUAACAACACUAGACGCAUGUCUAGAGUUUAAAAGAUGGUUCUGCUAUCACUCUUGGAUGGACCUGCGGUGCAUUAGCUAGUUGGUAAGGUAACGGCUUACCAAGGCAAUGAUGCAUAGCCGAGUUGAGAGACUGAUCGGCCACAUUGGGACUGAGACACGGCCCAAACUCCUACGGGAGGCAGCAGUAGGGAAUCUUCCACGAUGGACGCAAGUCUGAUGGAGCAACGCCGCGUGAGUGAAGAAGGGUUUCGGCUCGUAAAGCUCUGUUGGUAGUGAAGAAAGAUAGAGGUAGUAACUGGCCUUUAUUUGACGGUAAUUACUUAGAAAGUCACGGCUAACUACGUGCCAGCAGCCGCGGUAAUACGUAGGUGGCAAGCGUUGUCCGGAUUUAUUGGGCGUAAAGCGAGUGCAGGCGGUUCAAUAAGUCUGAUGUGAAAGCCUUCGGCUCAACCGGAGAAUUGCAUCAGAAACUGUUGAACUUGAGUGCAGAAGAGGAGAGUGGAACUCCAUGUGUAGCGGUGGAAUGCGUAGAUAUAUGGAAGAACACCAGUGGCGA